AUACGCUAGCGGCAGGCCUAAUACAUGCAAGUCGAACGGCAGCGGGUCCAGCAAUGGAUGCCGGCGAGUGGCGCACGGGUGCGUAACACGUAUGCAAUCUACCCUUAACGUGGGGGAUACGCCCGAGAAAGUCGGGAUUAAUACCCCAUAAUAUUAUGAAGUGGCAUCAUUUUAUAAUUAAAGUUCCGACGGUUUUGGAUGAGCAUGCGCGACAUUAGCUAGUUGGCGAGGUAACGGCUCACCAAGGCUGCGAUGUCUAGGGGUUCUGAGAGGAUUCACCCCCACACUGGUACUGAGACACGGACCAGACUCCUACGGGAGGCAGCAGUAAGGAAUAUUGGUCAAUGGACGCAAGUCUGAACCAGCCAUGCCGCGUGAAGGAAGACGGCCCUACGGGUUGUAAACUUCUUUUGUACGGGAAAAAACCACCGGUCGUGAACCGGUGCUGAUGGUACCGUAAGAAUAAGCAUCGGCUAACUCCGUG
RNAcentral lists this ribosomal RNA (484 nucleotides) under uncultured bacterium. Its description in RNAcentral is "bacterial SSU rRNA". It matches the Rfam family "Bacterial small subunit ribosomal RNA", at positions 33 to 507 of the family's 1533-position model. The record is from RNAcentral.